This is a non-coding RNA of Paramuricea clavata, 1315 nucleotides long. The record is from the annotation of a GenBank genome assembly. NCBI's taxonomy places the organism in Eukaryota, Metazoa, Cnidaria, Anthozoa, Malacalcyonacea, Plexauridae.
CUUGAAGUAAUGAGAUGUCAGCCACUCUUGGAUAAUUUUUUUAUCUCAUUAACGGUAGUUUUGGUGACGUCACAACUGGCAUUAACCAUAUAAAAGUAUUCGUUGCUGACCAAAUAUUGAUUAGUUGAUGUUUUAAAGGUUUCAAGUGAUCUUGAUAUUUCCAUUAGUUGUUGUCUAGAUAAAAAUAUAGCGUGACGUAACAUGCAUAUCUACAAGAAUCCAAGAUGGCGGGCAUUUUAUUUCUAUCGAUUAAAAGACUUUUUCUAUAUGGUUUUAUUUUAAAUGUUCUUUCAAACGAGAAAAUAAAAAAAUAUAUUGCCAUUUCCCUUCAAGUUAAGAAAACUCCGUUCAGGUAGUAGUGUUCCCUGUUCGAUACAAUAGGGAGCUUAAAGGCUAAUAUCCACUCCGGAAUAUAAGCAGCGGAUCGGACUGGGUCAGAACAAAACAAAAUCUGCGCAUGCGCCAUCAGUAUAAAUUUUUGGUUCUGAUUGAUCCGGCGACGUUGCUGGCCGGAUAAUAAAAAGUUGAAAUAUUUUCAACUUUUUUUGGUCCGGUCCGCGGAUAAACCUGGCGACCAGUCAAAUUGCCGUAUUAUCUCACAUAAAUUAAAAUAAUUAAAUAAUACCUGUAUCAGUAAAAUUUACAAAAUGGAGGAUAAUUCAGGAGUUUCUUGGAGAAUUCGAGGGAAACUUUACAAGAAUUGGAGAGUACAAUAGCUCUUCAAAUGAAUUUGCCUUUUUCAUUGUCUUUCCUGAAAAUUUUUUUCUUAUCCAAAUGCUCUUUUUGUAUUUUUCUUGUUUGCUUCUCCUUUGCUGGCGACGACGUAACCCAAUCAGAUGAAGGACACGCUUGUUCAGAGCCACUGCCGUUUUGAAAUAAGCGAGAAAUAGUAAUUUGUGAGACUGGAACGAGCUCCAUUUUUUCCUUUUCUGAUUUCGGACCGGAUCGGAAAAACCUCCAAUCCGGUCCGAUCCGCUGCUUAUUAUCCGGAGUGGAAAUUAGCCUUAAGUUUACCAAAUCUAUGACGCGGACAUGACGAAAAACUGCCGCUAUUAGCUAUCACAGUUUCACUUCACGGGUAAAAACUAUGGAUUGUUGUUGGUAAACAAAGCCAACUCUUACAAUAGACAUAGUCGUAGAAUACGUUUUCAAUACGCGUAAAAAAUCUUUUCGAUAUAUACAUGUAUAUGGUGUAUGCAUAUGCUGGUCAGUUCGCUUUACGUCGCGUGUAUAAUAGGCAGUGUAUAAUAGACAGAUUUAGAUCGAGGACGCGGACGUCAAAGACAAAAUGGCAUGGCAUAUCCAUACAUGGGCA